This 75-nucleotide transfer RNA is filed under the name Pitta nympha. Its description in RNAcentral is "tRNA-Asn". It matches the Rfam family "tRNA". Rfam says of the family: Transfer RNA (tRNA) molecules are approximately 80 nucleotides in length. Their secondary structure includes four short double-helical elements and three loops (D, anti-codon, and T loops). Lineage: Eukaryota; Metazoa; Chordata; Aves; Passeriformes; Pittidae. The record is from RNAcentral.
UAGGCAGACGCCUGUUGGGUAUAAGGCAUUUAGCUGUUAACUAGAAUUUCAUGGGAUCGAAGCCCAUCUGCCUAG